RNAcentral lists this non-coding RNA (27 nucleotides) under Mus musculus (house mouse). Lineage: Eukaryota; Metazoa; Chordata; Mammalia; Rodentia; Muridae. The record is from RNAcentral.
UGAAUGCUGAGAGAGCUGCUUCAGACA